GCUUAGGUAGUUUAAAGAAAAAACGGCAACUUGUGGCGUUGCGAAUGCAUAGGGCUUGCCUUAAGUC
RNAcentral lists this transfer RNA (67 nucleotides) under Eudohrnia metallica. RNAcentral describes it as "tRNA-His". The record is from RNAcentral. Lineage: Eukaryota; Metazoa; Arthropoda; Insecta; Dermaptera; Forficulidae.